UAGGGAAUUUUCGGCAAUGGGGGAAACCCUGACCGAGCAACGCCGCGUGAGUGAAGAAGGCCUUAGGGUUGUAAAGCUCUGUUGUAAGGGAAGAAUAAUCAGGAGAGGGAAUGCUCUUGAUCUGACGGUACCUUACCAGAAAGCCACGGCUAACUACGUGCCAGCAGCCGCGGUAAUACGUAGGUGGCAAGCGUUAUCCGGAAUUAUUGGGCGUAAAGGGAGCGCAGGCGGUUUAUCAAGUUUGUGGUUAAAGUUCGGGGCUCAACCCCGUGAUGCCACAGAAACUGGUAGACUAGAGUGCAGGAGAGGUGAGUGGAAUUCCAUGUGUAGCGGUAAAAUGCGUAGAUAUAUGGAGGAACACCAGUGGCGAAGGCGGCUCACUGGCCUGUUACUGACGCUGAGGCUCGAAAGCGUGGGGAGCAAAUGGG
This 428-nucleotide ribosomal RNA is filed under the name uncultured bacterium. RNAcentral's name for it is "bacterial SSU rRNA". It matches the Rfam family "Bacterial small subunit ribosomal RNA", at positions 355 to 776 of the family's 1533-position model. The record is from RNAcentral.